RNAcentral lists this ribosomal RNA (166 nucleotides) under Phymatidium hysteranthum. Its description in RNAcentral is "5.8S ribosomal RNA". It matches the Rfam family "5.8S ribosomal RNA". From Rfam's summary of the family: 5.8S ribosomal RNA (5.8S rRNA) is a component of the large subunit of the eukaryotic ribosome. It is transcribed by RNA polymerase I as part of the 45S precursor that also contains 18S and 28S rRNA. Lineage: Eukaryota; Viridiplantae; Streptophyta; Magnoliopsida; Asparagales; Orchidaceae. The record is from RNAcentral.
GAAUGACUCUCGGCAAUGGAUAUCUCGGCUCUUGCAUCGAUGAAGAGCGCAGCGAAAUGCGAUAUGUGGUGCGAAUUGCAGAAUCCCGCGAACCAUCGAGUCUUUGAACGCAAGUUGCGCCUGAGGCCAGCCGGCCAAGGGCACGUUCGCCUGGGCGUCAAGCCUU